AUUGAACGCUGGCGGCAUGCCUUACACAUGCAAGUCGAACGGUAACAGGUUAAGCUGACGAGUGGCGAACGGGUGAGUAAUACAUCGGAACGUGCCCAGUAGUGUGGGAUAGCCCGGCGAAAGCCUGAUUAAUACCGCAUACGACCUAAGGGUGAAAGUUGAGGCUCGCAAGACCUCUCGCUAUUGGAGCCUCCGAUGUCAGAUUAGCUAGUUGGUGGGGUAAAAGCUCACCAAGGCGACGAUCUGUAGCUGGUCUGAGAGGACGACCAGCCACACUGGGACUGAGACACGGCCCAGACUCCUACGGGAGGCAGCAGCGGGGAAUUUUGGACAAUGGGCGCAAGCCUGAUCCAGCCAUGCCGCGUGCGGGAAGAAGGCCUUCGGGUUGUAAACCGCUUUUGUCAGGGAAGAAAUCCUUUGGGUUAAUACCUCGGGGGGAUGACGGUACCUGAAGAAUAAGCACCGGCUAACUACGUG
This 477-nucleotide ribosomal RNA is filed under the name uncultured bacterium. Its description in RNAcentral is "partial 16S ribosomal RNA". It matches the Rfam family "Bacterial small subunit ribosomal RNA", at positions 30 to 507 of the family's 1533-position model. The record is from RNAcentral.